Molecule: long non-coding RNA, 345 nt
Filed under: Vicia faba (fava bean)
Lineage: Eukaryota; Viridiplantae; Streptophyta; Magnoliopsida; Fabales; Fabaceae
Source: RNAcentral
AUGGCAAUCUCAAAGAUGUAUUUAGUUGGUAUUAUAUCAAUAUUACUCAUUUCUUUGGCCAUAGGUGAAAACCUUUUAAAUUACCGCUACAAAAGGCUUGUUCCUUCCGGUCCAGACCCAAUAGAAUCACCGCCAUCACCAAAUAAACCUCUAACACAAAAUUUUAAAGUUAGUUAUGAUAUCAAAAGACUUGUUCCUUCAGGUCCAGACCCAAUAGAAUCACCCUCAUCACCAAUUAAAUCUCAAACAAAAAAUUCAGAAUUCAACUACGAAAUUAAAAGACUUCUUCCAUCAGGUCCUGACCCAAUAGAAUCACCACCUUCACCAAAUAUACCUUCAACAUAG